This 393-nucleotide ribosomal RNA is filed under the name uncultured soil bacterium. RNAcentral describes it as "bacterial SSU rRNA". It matches the Rfam family "Bacterial small subunit ribosomal RNA", at positions 91 to 519 of the family's 1533-position model. The record is from RNAcentral.
GUGAGCGGCAGACGGGUGAGUAACGCGUGGGGAUAUGCCCAAAGGUGCGGAAUAACUGUGGGAAACUACAGCUAAUACCGCAUGUGCCCUUCGGGGGAAAGAUUUAUCGCCUUUGGAUUAACCCGCGUCAGAUUAGCUAGUUGGUAGGGUAAUGGCCUACCAAGGCGACGAUCUGUAGCUGGUCUGAGAGGAUGACCAGCCACACUGGGACUGAGACACGGCCCAGACUCCUACGGGAGGCAGCAGUGGGGAAUAUUGGACAAUGGGCGCAAGCCUGAUCCAGCCAUGCCGCGUGAGUGAUGACGGCCUUAGGGUUGUAAAGCUCUUUUAACAGGGACGAUAAUGACGGUACCUGUAGAAUAAGCCCCGGCUAACUUCGUGCCAGCAGCCGCG